RNAcentral lists this long non-coding RNA (284 nucleotides) under Lathyrus oleraceus (garden pea). Its description in RNAcentral is "Pisum sativum (pea) long non-coding RNA (PSAT_LNC022651)". Lineage: Eukaryota; Viridiplantae; Streptophyta; Magnoliopsida; Fabales; Fabaceae. The record is from RNAcentral.
AAAACUAAGAAAUUAGCAUAUUAUACUCAAAAAUUAAAAAUUAAAAUCAAAACAUAGCUAAAUAUUAUAAAAUGAAAAAGAAAAAAAUUCAUGUUUCAUAGUUUUCAUUCAAACAUUAUUAAAAAUGAUAAAUAUUAUAAAAAUAUUUUUUAAAAACUUAUUUUAAAAAUAAAUCAAAUUAUAAAAUAAUAAAAUAGUAAAAAUACAUAAAAUAUAUAUAAAACUUAUUAUAAAACUAAUAUAAAAUAGUAAAAAAAAUAAACAAAAGUAGAACAAGAAUCAUU